CAAUAGUACAUACAGUAUUUGACCAUUAAUCUUUUGACAUUUUAGGGGAAGCUGAGCUUCCCUUGCAGUCUUAAAGAAAUUGCCACUGACGGACAGAAACAGAAA
This is a long non-coding RNA of Etheostoma spectabile (orangethroat darter), 105 nucleotides long. RefSeq lists it as uncharacterized. The transcript has 3 exons. Lineage: Eukaryota; Metazoa; Chordata; Actinopteri; Perciformes; Percidae. The record is from RefSeq and is a predicted model, not a curated record.